RNAcentral lists this unclassified non-coding RNA (213 nucleotides) under Hevea brasiliensis (rubber tree). Lineage: Eukaryota; Viridiplantae; Streptophyta; Magnoliopsida; Malpighiales; Euphorbiaceae. The record is from RNAcentral.
AGAGCUCAGUCGAUCAAAGGUGUGGCUCGAUCACUUCUUCCUCGCAUCCAUGGUGGUCGUGAAACUGAGUAUAAUGAACAAGUAUUUACUAGCUCUUUGUCAGGCAGUACCGAGUUCCACAGUUGUCGUGCAUGGUGCAAGAGAAUUCGAGGGCAGACUGAUCCCGCCCCCUCUUAGGGACAGCACGGGUCCUUUGCUUGUGCUAGGCUUGCU